GAUUAAGUUAUUAAGGGCGCACGGUGGAUGCCUUGGCACUAGAAGCCGAUGAAGGACGUUACUAACGACGAUAUGCUUUGGGGAGCUGUAAGUAAGCUUUGAUCCAGAGAUUUCCGAAUGGGGAAACCCAGCAUGAGUUAUGUCAUGUUAUCGAUAUGUGAAUACAUAGCAUAUCAGAAGGCACACCCGGAGAACUGAAACAUCUUAGUACCCGGAGGAAGAGAAAGAAAAUUCGAUUCCCUUAGUAGCGGCGAGCGAAACGGGAAGAGCCCAAACCAACAAGCUUGCUUGUUGGGGUUGUAGGACACUCUAUACGGAGUUACAAAGGACGACAUUAGACGAAUCAUCUGGAAAGAUGAAUCAAAGAAGGUAAUAAUCCUGUAGUCGAAAAUGUUGUCUCUCUUGAGUGGAUCCUGAGUACGACGGAGCACGUGAAAUUCCGUCGGAAUCUGGGAGGACCAUCUCCUAAGGCUAAAUACUCUCUAGUGACCGAUAGUGAACCAGUACCGUGAGGGAAAGGUGAAAAGCACCCCGGAAGGGGAGUGAAAUAGAACCUGAAACCGUGUGCUUACAAGUAGUCAGAGCCCGUUAAUGGGUGAUGGCGUGCCUUUUGUAGAAUGAACCGGCGAGUUACGAUUUGAUGCAAGGUUAAGCAGUAAAUGUGGAGCCGUAGCGAAAGCGAGUCUGAAUAGGGCGUUUAGUAUUUGGUCGUAGACCCGAAACCAGGUGAUCUACCCUUGGUCAGGUUGAAGUUCAGGUAACACUGAAUGGAGGACCGAACCGACUUACGUUGAAAAGUGAGCGGAUGAACUGAGGGUAGCGGAGAAAUUCCAAUCGAACCUGGAGAUAGCUGGUUCUCUCCGAAAUAGCUUUAGGGCUAGCCUCAAGUGAUGAUUAUUGGAGGUAGAGCACUGUUUGGACGAGGGGCCCCUCUCGGGUUACCGAAUUCAGACAAACUCCGAAUGCCAAUUAAUUUAACUUGGGAGUCAGAACAUGGGUGAUAAGGUCCGUGUUCGAAAGGGAAACAGCCCAGACCACCAGCUAAGGUCCCAAAAUAUAUGUUAAGUGGAAAAGGAUGUGGCGUUGCCCAGACAACUAGGAUGUUGGCUUAGAAGCAGCCAUCAUUUAAAGAGUGCGUAAUAGCUCACUAGUCGAGUGACACUGCGCCGAAAAUGUACCGGGGCUAAACAUAUUACCGAAGCUGUGGAUUGUCCUUUGGACAAUGGUAGGAGAGCGUUCUAAGGGCGUUGAAGCAUGAUCGUAAGGACAUGUGGAGCGCUUAGAAGUGAGAAUGCCGGUGUGAGUAGCGAAAGACGGGUGAGAAUCCCGUCCACCGAUUGACUAAGGUUUCCAGAGGAAGGCUCGUCCGCUCUGGGUUAGUCGGGUCCUAAGCUGAGGCCGACAGGCGUAGGCGAUGGAUAACAGGUUGAUAUUCCUGUACCACCUAUAAUCGUUUUAAUCGAUGGGGGGACGCAGUAGGAUAGGCGAAGCGUGUGAUUGGAUUGCACGUCUAAGCAGUAAGGCUGAGUAUUAGGCAAAUCCGGUACUCGUUAAGGCUGAGCUGUGAUGGGGAGAAGACAUUGUGUCUUCGAGUCGUUGAUUUCACACUGCCGAGAAAAGCCUCUAGAUAGAAAAUAGGUGCCCGUACCGCAAACCGACACAGGUAGUCAAGAUGAGAAUUCUAAGGUGAGCGAGCGAACUCUCGUUAAGGAACUCGGCAAAAUGACCCCGUAACUUCGGGAGAAGGGGUGCUCUUUAGGGUUAACGCCCAGAAGAGCCGCAGUGAAUAGGCCCAAGCGACUGUUUAUCAAAAACACAGGUCUCUGCUAAACCGUAAGGUGAUGUAUAGGGGCUGACGCCUGCCCGGUGCUGGAAGGUUAAGAGGAGUGGUUAGCUUCUGCGAAGCUACGAAUCGAAGCCCCAGUAAACGGCGGCCGUAACUAUAACGGUCCUAAGGUAGCGAAAUUCCUUGUCGGGUAAGUUCCGACCCGCACGAAAGGCGUAACGAUUUGGGCACUGUCUCAACGAGAGACUCGGUGAAAUCAUAGUACCUGUGAAGAUGCAGGUUACCCGCGACAGGACGGAAAGACCCCGUGGAGCUUUACUGUAGCCUGAUAUUGAAAUUCGGCACAGCUUGUACAGGAUAGGUAGGAGCCUUUGAAACGUGAGCGCUAGCUUACGUGGAGGCGCUGGUGGGAUACUACCCUAGCUGUGUUGGCUUUCUAACCCGCACCACUUAUCGUGGUGGGAGACAGUGUCAGGCGGGCAGUUUGACUGGGGCGGUCGCCUCCUAAAAGGUAACGGAGGCGCUCAAAGGUUCCCUCAGAAUGGUUGGAAAUCAUUCAUAGAGUGUAAAGGCAUAAGGGAGCUUGACUGCGAGACCUACAAGUCGAGCAGGGUCGAAAGACGGACUUAGUGAUCCGGUGGUUCCGCAUGGAAGGGCCAUCGCUCAACGGAUAAAAGCUACCCCGGGGAUAACAGGCUUAUCUCCCCCAAGAGUUCACAUCGACGGGGAGGUUUGGCACCUCGAUGUCGGCUCAUCGCAUCCUGGGGCUGUAGUCGGUCCCAAGGGUUGGGCUGUUCGCCCAUUAAAGCGGUACGCGAGCUGGGUUCAGAACGUCGUGAGACAGUUCGGUCCCUAUCCGUCGUGGGCGUAGGAAAUUUGAGAGGAGCUGUCCUUAGUACGAGAGGACCGGGAUGGACAUACCUCUGGUGUACCAGUUGUCGUGCCAACGGCAUAGCUGGGUAGCUAUGUGUGGACGGGAUAAGUGCUGAAAGCAUCUAAGCAUGAAGCCCCCCUCAAGAUGAGAUUUCCCAACUUCGGUUAUAAGAUCCCUCAAAGAUGAUGAGGUUAAUAGGUUCGAGGUGGAAGCAUGGUGACAUGUGGAGCUGACGAAUACUAAUCGAUCGAAGACUUAAUCAA
Molecule: ribosomal RNA, 2923 nt
Filed under: Staphylococcus aureus subsp. aureus RN4220
Lineage: Bacteria; Bacillati; Bacillota; Bacilli; Caryophanales; Staphylococcaceae
Description: 23S ribosomal RNA
Rfam family: Bacterial large subunit ribosomal RNA
Source: RNAcentral